UACGGAGGGGGUUAGCGUUGUUCGGAAUUACUGGGCGUAAAGCGCGCGUAGGCGGAUUGGAAAGUUGGGGGUGAAAUCCCGGGGCUCAACCCCGGAACUGCCUCCAAAACUACUAGUCUAGAGUUCGAGAGAGGUGAGUGGAAUUCCGAGUGUAGAGGUGAAAUUCGUAGAUAUUCGGAGGAACACCAGUGGCGAAGGCGGCUCACUGGCUCGAUACUGACGCUGAGGUGCGAAAGUGUGGAGGGCAAACAGG
RNAcentral lists this ribosomal RNA (253 nucleotides) under uncultured bacterium. RNAcentral's name for it is "partial 16S ribosomal RNA". It matches the Rfam family "Bacterial small subunit ribosomal RNA", at positions 524 to 776 of the family's 1533-position model. The record is from RNAcentral.